Molecule: long non-coding RNA, 1037 nt
Organism: Anolis carolinensis (green anole)
Lineage: Eukaryota; Metazoa; Chordata; Lepidosauria; Squamata; Anolidae
Exons: 3
Source: RefSeq, a predicted model, not a curated record
UAUAAUAAUAUAUAAUAUUACAAUAUAUUGUAUAUGCAUAUAAUAUUAGUAAUAUUAUUUUGUAAUAUAAUACUAAUAAUACAAUAUAAUAUUAAUUAUAUAUUAUAUAUUACAUUUAAUAUUACUAAUAAUAUUACAAUAUAUGGAUAUAGUACAGUAUAGUAAUUUAUUGCUAGUAUUGUGCUAUGCUAAUAAUAUAAUAUUGUAUGUAAAUUUAAUUUGUAAGCCGCUAUGAGUCCCCUUUGGGGUGAGAAGGGCGGGAUAUAAAUGUCGCUAAUAAAUAAUAAUAAAUAACACUAUUCUUCACUCUUAUGAAGCAGGGCCACCAGUCGUCAUAAGAAAUAAAGAGAAGGAGAGAAAGAAUACAAAUCGCGAAGACUCUGCUACUUCCAAGAACUCGAUUCCUUCCAAGUCAAAGGUAAUGAAUUCCCGAAGACCUUGACACUGAAAAUAUUCUACGAAUGAAGAUUUUGUGGCAAUAAGAACAAACCACCCUGAUGGACAGAGAGAGAGUUUGGCAAGAUUGGACAGAAUGGGCAGGAAGAAUCUUUUGUCUGAAUUGUACGACGGUAUGUUCAGAGGAUCUAAGCCCAGUCAUUUGGCCUUCUCUUGCUCACACUUGGCAUUGAUCGGGGUGUUUGCUUUUGAGGGCUGUCCUGGGGAGGACACGGAUGCCAGCCCUCAGGGACUGCGUUCGUUCGAGAAAGCCUUGCCUAAGACAAAACAGGCGCCAAUGGCUCUUUGUGUGUGUCAGAGAAGCAUGUAGUGUUUGAAGCUGAACACUUCCCCAGACAGGAGGAGGCAGGCGUUUCUUGAAAGUUGGAGCUGUGCAAAGAGGAGAAAGUGAGGCCUCUUAAGCCAGCACUGAGCAAGAGAAGGGACCGAGGGGUGGAGGGAAAGAAGGGAUGAAAGAAGGAAGGAAGGAGAGAAGGAAGGGAAGGAGAGAAGGAAGGAAGGAGAGAAGGAAAGAAAGAAAGAAGGAGAGAAGGAAAAAAGAGAUGAAAGACAAAAGGAGGGAAGGAAAGAAGGAGAGAAGG